UAAGUUCCGCAAGGAUUAAUAGAGAAACCGGUGCAAAUCCGGUACGAUUCCGUCGCUGUAAGGGGGAGCUUCAGACAGGAUGUCACUGUAUCGUCCGAUAUGGGAAGGCGUCUGAAGCGAAGAAGCCAAGUCAGAAGAACUGCUUGCAG
Molecule: non-coding RNA, 149 nt
Filed under: chicken gut metagenome
Source: RNAcentral